GCGGCUUUGUGAAUAGAUCUACCGCUGAGGCGCGUAAGCGUGGGGAGCGAUCGGAGUAAGAUACCCCGGUAGUGCACGCAGUAAGCGAUGCGCAUAUGGUGUAGCGGGUAUCGACCCAUGCUGUGCGGGCGCUAACGCAAUAAGUGGUGGAAACUGGGGAUUACGCAAGCAACUGUGAAACUCAAGGGAAUUGACGGGGCCGCGCACAAGCGGUGGAGUAUGUGGUGUAAUUCGAUGCAUCGGGAAGAACCUUACCAGCGCUGCACAUGUUGGUGGUAGGACGCUGAAAGGUAACCGACCUUUCAGGGAGCCUUCACAGGUAUCCCAUGGCUGUGGUCAGCUCGUGUCGUGAGAUGUUGGGUUAAGUGCCGCAACGAGCGCAACCCCUACCCUUAGUUGCCAUCAGUUAGGCUGGGAACUCUAGGGGAAGCGCCGGUGACAAACCGGAGGAAGGUGGGGAUGACGUCAAGUCCUCAAGGCCCUUAUGUCCUGGGGUACACCCGUACUACAAUGGUCGGUACAAUGAGUCGCAAUACCGCGAGGUGGAGCCAAUCUCAAAAAACCGCCCUCAAUUCAGAUUGGAGUCUGCAACUGGACUCCAUGAAGAAGGAAUCGCGGGUAAUCGCGGAUCAGCAUGCCGCGGUGAAUUCGUUCCCGGGGCAAGUUCACACCGCACCUCACACCACGAAAGUUGGUUGCCAGAGAAGUCCCCAGGCGACCCGCAAGGAGGCAGGCGCUUAAGGU
Molecule: ribosomal RNA, 744 nt
Filed under: uncultured organism
Description: bacterial SSU rRNA
Rfam family: Bacterial small subunit ribosomal RNA
Source: RNAcentral